CCUACGGGAGGCAGCAGUGGGGAAUUUUGGACAAUGGGCGAAAGCCUGAUCCAGCAAUGCCGCGUGUGUGAAGAAGGCCUUCGGGUUGUAAAGCACUUUUGUCCGGAAAGAAAUGGCUCUGGUUAAUCACCUGGGGUCGAUGACGGUACCGGAAGAAUAAGGACCGGCUAACUACGUGCCAGCAGCCGCGGUAAU
Molecule: ribosomal RNA, 195 nt
Filed under: uncultured bacterium
Lineage: Bacteria
Description: partial 16S ribosomal RNA
Rfam family: Bacterial small subunit ribosomal RNA
Source: RNAcentral